This 491-nucleotide ribosomal RNA is filed under the name uncultured bacterium. RNAcentral describes it as "partial 16S ribosomal RNA". It matches the Rfam family "Bacterial small subunit ribosomal RNA", at positions 29 to 506 of the family's 1533-position model. The record is from RNAcentral.
AGUGAACGCUGGCGGUAGGCCUAACACAUGCAAGUCGAACGGCAGCACAGUAAGAGCUUGCUCUUACGGGUGGCGAGUGGCGGACGGGUGAGGAAUACAUCGGAAUCUACUUUUUCGUGGGGGAUAACGUAGGGAAACUUACGCUAAUACCGCAUACGACCUACGGGUGAAAGCAGGGGAUCUUCGGACCUUGCGCGAUUGAAUGAGCCGAUGUCGGAUUAGCUAGUUGGCGGGGUAAAGGCCCACCAAGGCGACGAUCCGUAGCUGGUCUGAGAGGAUGAUCAGCCACACGGGAACUGAGACACGGUCCAGACUCCUACGGGAGGCAGCAGUGGGGAAUAUUGGACAAUGGGCGCAAGCCUGAGCCAGCCAUACCGCGGGGGUGAAGAAGGCCUUCGGGUUGUAAAGCCCUUUUGUUGGGAAAGAAAAGCAGCAGGUUAAGACCCCGCUGUUCUGACGGAACCCAAAGAAUAAGCACCGGCUAACUUCGU